This 256-nucleotide ribosomal RNA is filed under the name uncultured bacterium. RNAcentral describes it as "partial small subunit ribosomal RNA". It matches the Rfam family "Bacterial small subunit ribosomal RNA", at positions 26 to 286 of the family's 1533-position model. The record is from RNAcentral.
AGGACGAACGCUGGCGGCGUGCUUAACACAUGCAAGUCGAACGGAAAGGCCCUUCGGGGUACUCGAGUGGCGAACGGGUGAGUAACACGUGGGCAACCUGCCCCUAGCUCUGGGAUAACACUUGGAAACAGGUGCUAAUACCGGAUAACGACUCGACAAGGCAUCUUGACGAGUCCAAAGUUUUUCGGCUAGGGAUGGGCCCGCGGCCUAUCAGCUUGUUGGUGGGGUAAUGGCCCACCAAGGCAACGACGGGUAG